This 491-nucleotide ribosomal RNA is filed under the name proteobacterium dtb11. Its description in RNAcentral is "bacterial SSU rRNA". It matches the Rfam family "Bacterial small subunit ribosomal RNA", at positions 9 to 497 of the family's 1533-position model. The record is from RNAcentral. Lineage: Bacteria; Pseudomonadati; Pseudomonadota.
GAGUUUGAUCCUGGCUCAGAUUGAACGCUGGCGGCAUGCCUUACACAUGCAAGUCGAACGGUAACAGGUCUUCGGAUGCUGACGAGUGGCGAACGGGUGAGUAAUACAUCGGAACGUGCCCAAUCGUGGGGGAUAACGCAGCGAAAGCUGUGCUAAUACCGCAUAAGAUCUACGGAUGAAAGCGGGGGAUCGCAAGACCUCGCGCGAGUGGAGCGGCCGAUGGCAGAUUAGGUAGUUGGUGAGGUAAAGGCUCACCAAGCCUGCGAUCUGUAGCUGGUCUGAGAGGACGACCAGCCACACUGGAACUGAGACACGGUCCAGACUCCUACGGGAGGCAGCAGUGGGGAAUUUUGGACAAUGGGCGCAAGCCUGAUCCAGCAAUGCCGCGUGCAGGAUGAAGGCCUUCGGGUUGUAAACUGCUUUUGUACGGAACGAAAAGGUCCUUUCUAAUACAAGGGGCCCAUGACGGUACCGUAAGAAUAAGCACCGGC